CCCAGGUGCUCGAUGAAAUGCCCAAAGGGCUACAACAAUAGUAAUUCACUAGCUAGCUCCAGCGAAGCUGCCAUAUGGUACCAUGGAGGCACCAACUUCGACAGGACCUCCGGUGGGUCGUUCAUCGCCACUGGCUAAUGCGCCGAUCGACGAAUACGUCCGCUGAGGCAGCCGAAAUGGGUCUCCUGAGGGACCUGCACAAGGCCAUCAAGCAAACCGAGCUGGCGCUGAUCUCUGUCAACCCCACAAUCCAAUCCAUCAGGAACUACGAGAAGCAUUACCAUCAACUCGAAUGAGCGAUUCUAAGUCUGGGCAGUGACCGCAGUUGACCAUCUACUCUGCUAGGCAGUCCAUACAUGUGUUCGUC
Molecule: long non-coding RNA, 367 nt
Organism: Zea mays
Lineage: Eukaryota; Viridiplantae; Streptophyta; Magnoliopsida; Poales; Poaceae
Exons: 4
Source: RefSeq, a predicted model, not a curated record